GUGUCGGGGACCUGACUGCGGGAGCUGCCGGGCUCGGGGACCCCCUCCCCCACCGCGCGGGCGGGCGGGCGCUGCGAGCCGGCUCCGUGCCCGGGACCCUGCCAGCAGAGGAGACAGGUAUAUGCUGGUCACUUUCGAAGAGCCGCCCUAUGCUAUCAAGGCUGGAUGGAAAGAAAACCAUGCAACGUUUAUGAAUGAACUGAAAAACCUUCAGGCUGAAGGACUUACGACUCUUGGCCAAUCCCUAAGGACAGCUUUUGAUUUAUUAAAUUUAAAUAGAUUAGUAACUGGCAUAGACAACUAUGGGCAGGGAAGAAACCCUUUUUUCUUGGAGCCAGCAAUAAUUAUCACAAUUACUGAUGGGAGCAAGUUGACUACCACCAGUGGAGUCCAGGAUGAGAUGGGCAGCCAGAUAUAUCAAGGCCUUUUGGAUCUCAGCCUUGGCAUAGCUGUCACAAACUCAUAUAUGUCAGACCAAAUCCUAAAACUGGGGUUCCUAUAGGUCAUUGGCCUGUUCCAGAGUCUUUUUGGCCAGAUCAAAAUUCGCCAACACUA
RNAcentral lists this small RNA (555 nucleotides) under Pongo abelii (Sumatran orangutan). Its description in RNAcentral is "processed transcript". Lineage: Eukaryota; Metazoa; Chordata; Mammalia; Primates; Hominidae. The record is from RNAcentral.